RNAcentral lists this ribosomal RNA (301 nucleotides) under Ceratophysella sp. 5 CADH-2011. RNAcentral describes it as "eukaryotic LSU rRNA". It matches the Rfam family "Eukaryotic large subunit ribosomal RNA", at positions 664 to 911 of the family's 3401-position model. The record is from RNAcentral. Lineage: Eukaryota; Metazoa; Arthropoda; Collembola; Poduromorpha; Hypogastruridae.
GACCAAGGAGUCUAACAUGUGUGCAAGUCAUUGAGAAUGUUAAACUCAAAGGCGUAAUGAAAGUGAAGAUUCCAUUUUAGGAAUUUGAGGAGAGAUCAGUUUCUUUGUGUUGGGCUUCCGYAAGGUUGACUGGCCAAGAGCUGCGCAUCUCCUGGACGUCUUAACCUUCGAAGGUGGGGCGUACCUAGAGCAUACACGUUGGGACCCGAAAGAUGGUGAACUAUGCCUGGUCAGAACGAAGUCAGGGGAAACCCUGAUGGAGGUUCGUAGCGAUUCUGACGUGCAAAUCGAUCGUCGGAAC